Molecule: ribosomal RNA, 903 nt
Filed under: uncultured crenarchaeote
Lineage: Archaea; Thermoproteati; Thermoproteota
Description: bacterial SSU rRNA
Rfam family: Archaeal small subunit ribosomal RNA
Source: RNAcentral
ACAUGACCGCUGUCGGGGUGGGACUAAGCCAUGCGAGUCGUACGUCCUGAGCAAUGACAGGGCGUGGCGCACGGCUCCGUAAAACGUGGCUAAACUACCCCCAGGACGAGAAUAACCCCGGGAAACUGGGGCUAAUUCUCGAUAGGUGCAAAGCUCUGGAAUGACUUUGCGCCAAAAAGGACUAGGAUCAUGCUUCCUAGCUCCGCCUGGGGAUGUGGCCACGGCCUAUCAGGUAGUUGGUGGGGUAACGGCCCACCAAGCCGAUAACGGGUACGGGCCCUGAGAGGGGGAGCCCGGAGAUGGCCACUGAGACAAGGGGCCAGGCCCUACGGGGUGCAGCAGGCGCGAAACCUCCGCAAUGGGCGAAAGCCCGACGGGGUCACCUCGAGUCCCACCUGCUGAAGGUGGGUUUUCCCUGGUCUAAAAAGCCAGGGGAAUAAGCGGGGGGCAAGUCUGGUGUCAGCCGCCGCGGUAACACCAGCCCCGCGAGUGGUCAUGACGUUUAUUGGGCUUAAAGCAUCCGUAGCCGGCUUGGUGUGUCUCUGGUUAAAUCUCACGGCCUAACCGUGAGACGCCAAAGAUACUACCAAGCUAGGGGGUGGGAGAAGCCGGGGGUACUCCAGGGGUAGGGGCAAAAUCCUAUAAUCCCUGGAGGACCACCAGUGGCGAAGGCGCCCGGCUAGAACACGCCCGACGGUGAGGGAUGAAAGCUGGGGGAGCGAACCGGAUUAGAUACCCGGGUAGUCCCAGCUGUAAACGAUGCAGGCUAGGUGUCGGGUGGGCUUAGUGCUCACCCGGUGCCGAAGCGAAAGCGUUAAGCCUGCCGCCUGGGGAGUACGGUCGCAAGGCUGAAACUUAAAGGAAUUGGCGGGGGGGCACCACAAGGGGUGAAUGCUGCGGUUU